This 397-nucleotide ribosomal RNA is filed under the name Loktanella sp. Asnod2H11. RNAcentral describes it as "bacterial SSU rRNA". It matches the Rfam family "Bacterial small subunit ribosomal RNA", at positions 395 to 808 of the family's 1533-position model. Lineage: Bacteria; Pseudomonadati; Pseudomonadota; Alphaproteobacteria; Rhodobacterales; Roseobacteraceae. The record is from RNAcentral.
UGCCGCGUGAGUGACGAAGGCCUUAGGGUCGUAAAGCUCUUUCGCCAGAGAUGAUAAUGACAGUAUCUGGUAAAGAAACCCCGGCUAACUCCGUGCCAGCAGCCGCGGUAAUACGGAGGGGGUUAGCGUUGUUCGGAAUUACUGGGCGUAAAGCGUACGUAGGCGGAUUGGAAAGUAGGGGGUGAAAUCCCGGGGCUCAACCCCGGAACUGCCUCCUAAACUAUCAGUCUAGAGUUCGAGAGAGGUGAGUGGAAUUCCAAGUGUAGAGGUGAAAUUCGUAGAUAUUUGGAGGAACACCAGUGGCGAAGGCGGCUCACUGGCUCGAUACUGACGCUGAGGUACGAAAGUGUGGGGAGCAAACAGGAUUAGAUACCCUGGUAGUCCACUGCUGCCUCCC